UACGAAGGGGGCUAGCGUUGCUCGGAAUCACUGGGCGUAAAGCGCACGUAGGCGGACUCUUAAGUCGGUGGUGAAAUCCUGGAGCUCAACUCCAGAACUGCCUUCGAUACUGAGGAUCUCGAGUCCGGGAGAGGUGAGUGGAACUGCGAGUGUAGAGGUGAAAUUCGUAGAUAUUCGCAAGAACACCAGUGGCGAAGGCGGCUCACUGGCCCGGUACUGACGCUGAGGUGCGAAAGCGUGGGGAGCAAACAGG
Molecule: ribosomal RNA, 253 nt
Filed under: uncultured bacterium
Lineage: Bacteria
Description: partial 16S ribosomal RNA
Rfam family: Bacterial small subunit ribosomal RNA
Source: RNAcentral